UACAGAGAGUGCAAACGUUGUUCGGAAUUACUGGGCUUAAAGCGCACGUAGGCGGUGUCGUAAGUGUCAGGUGAAAUCCCACGGCUCACCCGUGGAACUGCCUGGCAUACUGCGAUACUCGAGUGUGGUAGGGGAGAGCGGAACUCCUGGUGGAGCGGUGAAAUGCGUAGAUAUCAGGAGGAACACCGGUGGCGAAGGCAGGUCUCUGGGCUGACACUGACGCUCAUGCACGAAAGCGUGGGGAGCAAACAGG
This 253-nucleotide ribosomal RNA is filed under the name uncultured bacterium. RNAcentral's name for it is "partial 16S ribosomal RNA". It matches the Rfam family "Bacterial small subunit ribosomal RNA", at positions 524 to 776 of the family's 1533-position model. The record is from RNAcentral.